Non-coding RNA from Talpa occidentalis (Iberian mole), 516 nucleotides. The record is from the annotation of a RefSeq genome assembly. Lineage: Eukaryota; Metazoa; Chordata; Mammalia; Eulipotyphla; Talpidae.
AUGGCGCCCUCCAGCCUGCUGUGGGUCCUGGUGGCCUUCACCUGCUCUGGAUCCAGUGUGGCCCAGAAAGUGACCCAAAACCAGUCAGCUAUAACCACACAAGAGUGGUCAACAGUCACCCUCAACUGUCAGUAUGAAACAAGUUCGAUUAACUACUAUCUUUAUUGGUACAAGCAGCUUCCUGAUGGAAAGAUCAAUUACCUUAUUCAUCAGUCUUCUUCUUCUACCAAUAAUGCAGAAAAGGGUCCCUGUGUUAUAAACUUCCAGAAAGCAGAGAAAGCCAUCUCCCUCACCAUUAAAUCCUUACAACUGGAUGAUUCAGCAAAGUACUUCUGUGCUCUCUGGGAACCCACUGUGCUUGAGAGGACACUAAAAGCCAAACAAAAACCCAGACCUCAAGAAAACCAAGAGCCCUCCUCAGGACCCAAGCUGAAAUCACACCUGCAGGUCCCAGAUAGGCAAUGGCAGUGCCUGUGCUUGCUCCAUACGUGGUCUUUUCAAAGAAUUGGAUUCUGA